GUCUACGGCCAUGCUACCCCGAACAAGCCCGAUCCCAUUUGAUCUCAGAAGCUAAGCAGGGUCGGGCCUGGUUAGUACUUGGAUGGGAGACCACCUAGGAAGACCAGGUGCUAUAGGUG
This 119-nucleotide ribosomal RNA is filed under the name Pteropus alecto (black flying fox). Lineage: Eukaryota; Metazoa; Chordata; Mammalia; Chiroptera; Pteropodidae. The record is from RNAcentral.